This 1460-nucleotide ribosomal RNA is filed under the name Staphylococcus saprophyticus. RNAcentral's name for it is "bacterial SSU rRNA". It matches the Rfam family "Bacterial small subunit ribosomal RNA". The record is from RNAcentral. Lineage: Bacteria; Bacillati; Bacillota; Bacilli; Caryophanales; Staphylococcaceae.
GGAAAUGCGGCGUGCUAUACAUGCAGUCGAGCGAACAGAUAAGGAGCUUGCUCCUUUGACGUUAGCGGCGGACGGGUGAGUAACACGUGGGUAACCUACCUAUAAGACUGGGAUAACUUCGGGAAACCGGAGCUAAUACCGGAUAACAUUUGGAACCGCAUGGUUCUAAAGUGAAAGAUGGUUUUGCUAUCACUUAUAGAUGGACCCGCGCCGUAUUAGCUAGUUGGUAAGGUAACGGCUUACCAAGGCGACGAUACGUAGCCGACCUGAGAGGGUGAUCGGCCACACUGGAACUGAGACACGGUCCAGACUCCUACGGGAGGCAGCAGUAGGGAAUCUUCCGCAAUGGGCGAAAGCCUGACGGAGCAACGCCGCGUGAGUGAUGAAGGGUUUCGGCUCGUAAAACUCUGUUAUUAGGGAAGAACAAACGUGUAAGUAACUGUGCACGUCUUGACGGUACCUAAUCAGAAAGCCACGGCUAACUACGUGCCAGCAGCCGCGGUAAUACGUAGGUGGCAAGCGUUAUCCGGAAUUAUUGGGCGUAAAGCGCGCGUAGGCGGUUUCUUAAGUCUGAUGUGAAAGCCCACGGCUCAACCGUGGAGGGUCAUUGGAAACUGGGAAACUUGAGUGCAGAAGAGGAAAGUGGAAUUCCAUGUGUAGCGGUGAAAUGCGCAGAGAUAUGGAGGAACACCAGUGGCGAAGGCGACUUUCUGGUCUGUAACUGACGCUGAUGUGCGAAAGCGUGGGGAUCAAACAGGAUUAGAUACCCUGGUAGUCCACGCCGUAAACGAUGAGUGCUAAGUGUUAGGGGGUUUCCGCCCCUUAGUGCUGCAGCUAACGCAUUAAGCACUCCGCCUGGGGAGUACGACCGCAAGGUUGAAACUCAAAGGAAUUGACGGGGACCCGCACAAGCGGUGGAGCAUGUGGUUUAAUUCGAAGCAACGCGAAGAACCUUACCAAAUCUUGACAUCCUUUGAAAACUCUAGAGAUAGAGCCUUCCCCUUCGGGGGACAAAGUGACAGGUGGUGCAUGGUUGUCGUCAGCUCGUGUCGUGAGAUGUUGGGUUAAGUCCCGCAACGAGCGCAACCCUUAAGCUUAGUUGCCAUCAUUAAGUUGGGCACUCUAGGUUGACUGCCGGUGACAAACCGGAGGAAGGUGGGGAUGACGUCAAAUCAUCAUGCCCCUUAUGAUUUGGGCUACACACGUGCUACAAUGGACAAUACAAAGGGCAGCUAAACCGCGAGGUCAUGCAAAUCCCAUAAAGUUGUUCUCAGUUCGGAUUGUAGUCUGCAACUCGACUACAUGAAGCUGGAAUCGCUAGUAAUCGUAGAUCAGCAUGCUACGGUGAAUACGUUCCCGGGUCUUGUACACACCGCCCGUCACACCACGAGAGUUUGUAACACCCGAAGCCGGUGGAGUAACCAUUUAUGGAGCUAGCCGUCGAAAGUGAACAAGAAGUG